Molecule: ribosomal RNA, 409 nt
Filed under: uncultured organism
Description: bacterial SSU rRNA
Rfam family: Bacterial small subunit ribosomal RNA
Source: RNAcentral
UGGAUAAGACAUGCAAGUCGAACGCUGGUCCAUGUGUAGCAAUACAUAUGGGUUGGAGUGGCGUAAGGGUGCGUGACACGUGGGCAAUUUGCCGUGUAGUUGGGGAUAACUCGCUGAAAGGCGAGCUAAUACCGAAUGUGGAUUCUUGGGGGCAUCCCCGGGUUUCCAAAGCUGGGGACCGUAAGGCCUGGCGCUAUACGAUGAGCCCGCGUCCUAUCAGCUAGUUGGUGAGGUAACGGCUCACCAAGGCUAAGACGGGUAGCUGGUCUGAGAGGACGACCAGCCACACUGGAACUGAGACACGGUCCAGACACCUACGGGUGGCAGCAGUCGAGAAUUUUUCUCAAUGGGGGAAACCCUGAAGGAGCGACGCCGCGUGGGGGAUGAAGGGCUUCGGCUCGUAAACCCC